This 446-nucleotide ribosomal RNA is filed under the name uncultured bacterium. Its description in RNAcentral is "partial 16S ribosomal RNA". It matches the Rfam family "Bacterial small subunit ribosomal RNA", at positions 29 to 523 of the family's 1533-position model. The record is from RNAcentral.
AGCGAACGCUGGCGGCAGGCUUAACACAUGCAAGUCGAACGGUCCUUCGGGAUAGUGGCGGACGGGUGAGUAACACGUGGGAACGUACCCUUAGGUUCGGAACAACACAGGGAAACUUGUGCUAAUACCGGAUAGCCCUUCGGGGGAAAGAUUUAUCGCCUUUGGAGCGGCCCGCGUCUGAUUAGCUUGUUGGUGAGGUAAUGGCUCACCAAGGCUACGAUCAGUAGCUGGUCUGAGAGGAUGGCCAGCCACACUGGGACUGAGACACGGCCCAGACUCCUACGGGAGGCAGCAGUGGGGAAUCUUGCGCAAUGGGCGAAAGCCUGACGCAGCCAUGCCGCGUGGAUGAUGAAGGUCUUAGGAUUGUAAAGCUCUUUCACCGAUGAAGAUAAUGACGGUAGUCGGAGAAGAAGCCCCGGCUAACUUCGUGCCAGCCGCCGCCGUAA